UACGUAGGGUGCGAGCGUUAAUCGGAAUUACUGGGCGUAAAGCGUGCGCAGGCGGUUGUGCAAGACAGGUGUGAAAUCCCCGGGCUUAACCUGGGAACUGCGCUUGUAACUGGCAAGCUUGAGUGUGGCAGAGGGGGGUGGAAUUCCACGUGUAGCAGUGAAAUGCGUAGAGAUGUGGAGGAACACCGAUGGCGAAGGCAGCCCCCUGGGCUAACACUGACGCUCAUGCACGAAAGCGUGGGGAGCAAACAGG
Molecule: ribosomal RNA, 253 nt
Filed under: uncultured bacterium
Lineage: Bacteria
Description: partial 16S ribosomal RNA
Rfam family: Bacterial small subunit ribosomal RNA
Source: RNAcentral